CGGGAUGGACGUACCUCUGGUGUACCAGUUGUCCUGCCAAGGGCAUGGCUGGGUAGCUAUGUACGGAAUGGAUAAGCGCUGAAAGCAUCUAAGCGCGAAGUCAACUUCAAGAUAAGAUUUCCCACCGAAAGGGUAAGACCCCAGAAAGACUAUCUGGUUGAUAGGUCGAAGGUGUAAGUGCAGCAAUGUAUUUAGCUUAUCGAUACUAAUAGGUCGAGGACUUGACCA
Molecule: ribosomal RNA, 228 nt
Filed under: Clostridioides difficile
Lineage: Bacteria; Bacillati; Bacillota; Clostridia; Peptostreptococcales; Peptostreptococcaceae
Description: partial 23S ribosomal RNA
Rfam family: Bacterial large subunit ribosomal RNA
Source: RNAcentral